RNAcentral lists this ribosomal RNA (1346 nucleotides) under uncultured bacterium. RNAcentral describes it as "partial 16S ribosomal RNA". It matches the Rfam family "Bacterial small subunit ribosomal RNA", at positions 28 to 1381 of the family's 1533-position model. The record is from RNAcentral.
GACGAACGCUGGCGGCGUGCUUAACACAUGCAAGUCGAACGGAAAGGCCCUGCUUUUGUGGGGUGCUUGAGUGGCGAACGGGUGAGUAACACGUGAGUAACCUGCCCUUGACUUUGGGAUAACUUCAGGAAACUGGGGCUAAUACCGGAUAGGAGCUCCUGCUGCAUGGUGGGGGUUGGAAAGUUUCGGCGGUUGGGGAUGGACUCGCGGCCUAUCAGCUUGUUGGUGGGGUAGUGGCUUACCAAGGCUUUGACGGGUAGCCGGCCUGAGAGGGUGGCCGGCCACAUUGGGACUGAGAUACGGCCCAGACUCCUACGGGAGGCAGCAGUGGGGAAUAUUGCACAAUGGGCGGAAGCCUGAUGCAGCAACGCCGCGUGCGGGAUGACGGCCUUCGGGUUGUAAACCGCUUUCGCCUGUGACGAAGCGUGAGUGACGGUAAUGGGUAAAGAAGCACCGGCUAACUACGUGCCGGCAGCCGCGGUGAUACGUAGGGUGCGAGCGUUGUCCGGAUUUAUUGGGCGUAAAGGGCUCGUAGGUGGUUGAUCGCGUCGGAAGUGUAAUCUUGGGGCUUAACCCUGAGCGUGCUUUCGAUACGGGUUGACUUGAGGAAGGUAGGGGAGAAUGGAAUUCCUGGUGGAGCGGUGGAAUGCGCAGAUAUCAGGAGGAACACCAGUGGCGAAGGCGGUUCUCUGGGCCUUUCCUGACGCUGAGGAGCGAAAGCGUGGGGAGCGAACAGGCUUAGAUACCCUGGUAGUCCACGCUGUAAACGGUGGGUACUAGGUGUGGGGUCCAUUCCACGGGUUCCGUGCCGUAGCUAACGCUUUAAGUACCCCGCCUGGGGAGUACGGCCGCAAGGCUAAAACUCAAAGGAAUUGACGGGGCCCCGCACAAGCGGCGGAGCAUGCGGAUUAAUUCGAUGCAACGCGUAGAACCUUACCUGGGUUUGACAUGGAUCGGGAGUGCUCAGAGAUGGGUGUGCCUCUUUUGGGGUCGGUUCACAGGUGGUGCAUGGCUGUCGUCAGCUCGUGUCGUGAGAUGUUGGGUUAAGUCCCGCAACGAGCGCAACCCUUGUUCACUGUUGCCAGCACGUUAUGGUGGGGACUCAGUGGAGACCGCCGGGGUCAACUCGGAGGAAGGUGGGGAUGACGUCAAGUCAUCAUGCCCCUUAUGUCCAGGGCUUCACGCAUGCUACAAUGGCUGGUACAGAGAGUGGCGAGCCUGUGAGGGUGAGCGAAUCUCGGAAAGCCGGUCUCAGUUCGGAUUGGGGUCUGCAACUCGACCUCAUGAAGUCGGAGUCGCUAGUAAUCGCGGAUCAGCAACGCUGCGGUGAAUAAGUUCCCGGGGCU